Molecule: ribosomal RNA, 507 nt
Filed under: uncultured bacterium
Lineage: Bacteria
Description: partial 16S ribosomal RNA
Rfam family: Bacterial small subunit ribosomal RNA
Source: RNAcentral
GACGAACGCUGGCGGCGUGCCUAAUACAUGCAAGUCGAACGCAUUUUCUUUCACCGUAGCUUGCUACACCGAAAGAAAAUGAGUGGCGAACGGGUGAGUAACACGUGGGUAACCUGCCCAUCAGCGGGGGAUAACACUUGGAAACAGGUGCUAAUACCGCAUAAUUCCAUUUACCGCAUGGUAAAUGGAUGAAAGGCGCUUUUGCGUCACUGAUGGAUGGACCCGCGGUGCAUUAGCUAGUUGGUGGGGUAACGGCCUACCAAGGCUGCGAUGCAUAGCCGACCUGAGAGGGUGAUCGGCCACACUGGGACUGGGACACGGCCCAGACUCCUACGGGAGGCAGCAGUAGGGAAUCUUCGGCAAUGGACGCAAGUCUGACCGAGCAACGCCGCGUGAGUGAAGAAGGUUUUCGGAUCGUAAAACUCUGUUGUUAGAGAAGAACAAGGAUGAGAGUGGAAAGUUCAUCCCUUGACGGUAUCUAACCAGAAAGCCACGGCUAACUACGUG